ACACGCCGACGGAGCAAAGUCGUUUCUGCUUUGUUUCUUCGUCAACGCUGAUCGCCGAUGGAACGUCGUUGGCAAAUCGUUUGCGAUUUACCGCGCUUUCCUUCACACAACUGUCAAAAUCGCUCUUCGCGGCCUCGAAAUCCUCCCCUCGGGCGAACUUGACGGUUAUGCGCGAGCGCGCGUUCUCGCAGCACAGUAUAUGCCAGUACGCGGAAGCCACGAAGAGACGCGCUUUACAUCGAGCGGCGCGCGGUUUCACGCGGGUAUAUACAUAUACAUGCUUUUCUAAGGAAAAUCUAUAGUAUGCAGAAAUAGUAUAAUUGCAUCCCGGAUAACCGGUUUAGCUGAUGGAAUUUAUACAGCGAGCAAGGCGUGGCUGGUAAUGGUUAGAGGUCGAUGAGGACGAAUAUAGUAGGGGAACUUAACGGAACAUGUCGAAAACGGCCGAAUCUGCCGUCUAUUGAUCGUAACGAAUCUCGGUCCCAGAUAUUCGAAUAGCACAAUGCCUGGAUUCUAUAUUUAGAACGUACCCUUAUAGAAAAUUGACUUUAUUUUAUUUGGUAGACUUAAAGAAAAGAUCUUGUGUGCGAUGAAUAGAACGAUUGUGAUUGAUUCUGAGCUCAUUUGUAUGCCACACCCCUCCCUUCUCCUCCCGCCGAGCAGGAAGGAAAAGCGAUGCAGUUGUACAUAGAUUAUUUAAAUAAAUAUUUUUGAAGUUA
Long non-coding RNA from Pogonomyrmex barbatus (red harvester ant), 719 nucleotides. The record is from RefSeq and is a predicted model, not a curated record. NCBI's taxonomy places the organism in Eukaryota, Metazoa, Arthropoda, Insecta, Hymenoptera, Formicidae.